Molecule: long non-coding RNA, 409 nt
Organism: Marmota monax (woodchuck)
Lineage: Eukaryota; Metazoa; Chordata; Mammalia; Rodentia; Sciuridae
Exons: 2
Source: RefSeq, a predicted model, not a curated record
CCCACCCCCCAGCUUUGCAUGUCCUUCUUUCUCUACACUUGGAAAGCCCUGUCUUUUUCUUCUCUCCCUCACCCGGUCUUUACAUGGAGAUUUUACCCUCAGACUUUAGAUCCGGCUCAGGCACCAACACUUCUGUGAAGUCUUUCUUGAUGAUCACAAGAGUCUGUGGUUCUGCCCAAUGUGUGGAUCCUAAAUCUAGUAUGUCUUUGUAAGGAGACACCAAAACAGAGGAGGCACAGGCAAGGGGCCACGUGAAGUUACUGUAGUUACAUGGCCAACAGAUACCAGAAGCUGGGAGAGGAAGGAAGACUUCUUCCCUGGGUCCUUCAGAGAGAGAGACCCUAAUGACACCUCAAUUUCAGACUUCUGACCUCCAGAACAAGGCGAGAGUAAAUUUCUUUUUCUUUAA